RNAcentral lists this ribosomal RNA (769 nucleotides) under Staphylococcus simulans. RNAcentral describes it as "bacterial SSU rRNA". It matches the Rfam family "Bacterial small subunit ribosomal RNA", at positions 59 to 812 of the family's 1533-position model. Lineage: Bacteria; Bacillati; Bacillota; Bacilli; Caryophanales; Staphylococcaceae. The record is from RNAcentral.
AAGUCGAGCGAGCAGACGAGGAGCUUGCUCCUCUGACGUUAGCGGCGGACGGGUGAGUAACACGUGGGUAACCUACCUAUAAGACUGGGAUAACUCCGGGAAACCGGGGCUAAUACCGGAUAACACAUGAAACCGCAUGGUUUCAUGAUGAAAGACGGUUUUGCUGUCACUUAUAGAUGGACCCGCGGCGUAUUAGCUAGUUGGUAAGGUAACGGCUUACCAAGGCAACGAUACGUAGCCGACCUGAGAGGGUGAUCGGCCACACUGGAACUGAGACACGGUCCAGACUCCUACGGGAGGCAGCAGUAGGGAAUCUUCCGCAAUGGGCGAAAGCCUGACGGAGCAACGCCGCGUGAGUGAUGAAGGUCUUCGGAUCGUAAAACUCUGUUAUUAGGGAAGAACAAGGAUGUAAGUAACUGUGCAUCCCUUGACGGUACCUAAUCAGAAAGCCACGGCUAACUACGUGCCAGCAGCCGCGGUAAUACGUAGGUGGCAAGCGUUAUCCGGAAUUAUUGGGCGUAAAGCGCGCGUAGGCGGUUUUUUAAGUCUGAUGUGAAAGCCCACGGCUCAACCGUGGAGGGUCAUUGGAAACUGGAAAACUUGAGUGCAGAAGAGGAAAGUGGAAUUCCAUGUGUAGCGGUGAAAUGCGCAGAGAUAUGGAGGAACACCAGUGGCGAAAGCGACUUUCUGGUCUGCAACUGACGCUGAUGUGCGAAAGCGUGGGGAUCAAACAGAUUAGAUACCCUGGUAGUCCACGCCGUAACGAUGA